RNAcentral lists this transfer RNA (84 nucleotides) under Flavobacteriales bacterium. RNAcentral's name for it is "tRNA-Leu". It matches the Rfam family "tRNA". From Rfam's summary of the family: Transfer RNA (tRNA) molecules are approximately 80 nucleotides in length. Their secondary structure includes four short double-helical elements and three loops (D, anti-codon, and T loops). Further hydrogen bonds mediate the characteristic L-shaped molecular structure. tRNAs have two regions of fundamental functional importance: the anti-codon, which is responsible for specific mRNA codon recognition, and the 3' end, to which the tRNAs corresponding amino acid is attached (by aminoacyl-tRNA synthetases). tRNAs cope with the degeneracy of the genetic code in two manners: having more than one tRNA (with a specific anti-codon) for a particular amino acid; and 'wobble' base-pairing, i.e. permitting non-standard base-pairing at the 3rd anti-codon position. The record is from RNAcentral. Lineage: Bacteria; Pseudomonadati; Bacteroidota; Flavobacteriia; Flavobacteriales.
GCCGAAGUGGCGGAAUUGGUAGACGCGCUGGAUUCAAAAUCCAGUUUUCGCAAGGGAGUGCGGGUUCGAUUCCCGCCUUCGGUA